Molecule: long non-coding RNA, 258 nt
Filed under: Elaeis guineensis (African oil palm)
Lineage: Eukaryota; Viridiplantae; Streptophyta; Magnoliopsida; Arecales; Arecaceae
Description: long non-coding RNA (EGUI_LNC014930)
Source: RNAcentral
UCGAAUCAAAUAGGAUAUAGGUUAAAACUGGUUGUACAAUAAGGUUUCUUCAUAAUUUUCAUUUUUUGAUGCAAACAUCAAUACUUAUCUAGGCAAAGAGGCUCCGUUACUUGAUGAAAAGUGCUCGAAACAAAAUUUAUUCAAUAUAUGUUUUCUUCAUAUUUUUUUUAAUUAUUCAAUGAAGGAAUUUUUGCAUACAUGAACAUAUUACACUUGUACACAUAAGAAGUAGAUUCUUUUUUUUAUGCUAAUAGGGAG